This 406-nucleotide ribosomal RNA is filed under the name uncultured bacterium. RNAcentral's name for it is "partial 16S ribosomal RNA". It matches the Rfam family "Bacterial small subunit ribosomal RNA", at positions 30 to 526 of the family's 1533-position model. The record is from RNAcentral.
AUUGAACGCUGGCGGCAGGCCUAACACAUGCAAGUCGAACGAGUGGCGGACGGGUGAGUAAUGUCUGGGAAACUGCCUGAUGGAGGGGGAUCACUACUGGCAACGGUAGCUAAUACCGCAUACCAUCGGAUGUGCCCAGAUGGGAUUAGCUUGUUGGGGGGGUAACGGCGCACCAAGGCGACGAUCCCUAGCUGGUCUGAGCGGAUGACCAGCCACACGGGAACUGAGACACGGUCCAGACUCCUACGGGAGGCAGCAGUGGGGAAUAUUGCACAAUGGGCGCAAGCCUGAUGCAGCCAUGCCGCGUGUAUGAAGAAGGCCUUCGGGUUGUAAAGUACUUUCAGCGGGGAGGCGUGACCCGCAGAAGAAGCACCGGCUAACUCCGUGCCAGCAGCCGCGGUAAUUC